CCUACCAUGCAAGUCGAGCGGAUGAGGGAGCUUGCUCCUGGAUUCAGCGGCGGACGGGUGAGUAAUGCCUAGGAAUCUGCCUGGUAGUGGGGGACAACGUUUCGAAAGGAACGCUAAUACCGCAUACGUCCUACGGGAGAAAGCAGGGGACCUUCGGGCCUUGCGCUAUCAGAUGAGCCUAGGUCGGAUUAGCUAGUUGGUGAGGUAAUGGCUCACCAAGGCGACGAUCCGUAACUGGUCAGACACGGUCCAGACUCCUACGGGAGGCAGCAGUGGGGAAUAUUGGACAAUGGGCGAAAGCCUGAUCCAGCCAUGCCGCGUGUGUGAAGAAGGUCUUCGGAUUGUAAAGCACUUUAAGUUGGGAGGAAGGGCAGUAAAUUAAUACUUUGCUGUUUUGACGUUACCGACAGAAUAAGCACCGGCUAACUCUGUGCCAGCAGCCGCGGUAAUACAGAGGGUGCAAGCGUUAAUCGGAAUUACUGGGCGUAAAGCGCGCGUAGGUGGUUCGUUAAGUUGGAUGUGAAAUCCCCGGGCUCAACCUGGGAACUGCAUCCAAAACUGGCGAGCUAGA
RNAcentral lists this ribosomal RNA (571 nucleotides) under Pseudomonas sp. CH81. Its description in RNAcentral is "bacterial SSU rRNA". It matches the Rfam family "Bacterial small subunit ribosomal RNA", at positions 47 to 645 of the family's 1533-position model. Lineage: Bacteria; Pseudomonadati; Pseudomonadota; Gammaproteobacteria; Pseudomonadales; Pseudomonadaceae. The record is from RNAcentral.